Molecule: ribosomal RNA, 253 nt
Filed under: uncultured bacterium
Lineage: Bacteria
Description: partial 16S ribosomal RNA
Rfam family: Bacterial small subunit ribosomal RNA
Source: RNAcentral
UACGUAGGUGGCAAGCGUUGUCCGGAUUUAUUGGGGUUAAAGGGUGCGUAGGCGGUUCCAUAAGUCAGUGGUGAAAUACGGCAGCUCAACUGUCGAGGUGCCAUUGAUACUGCGGAACUUGAGUACUGAUGAGGUAGGCGGAAUUGACGGUGUAGCGGUGAAAUGCUUAGAUAUCGUCAAGAACACCGAUAGCGAAGGCAGCUUACCAAGCAGUAACUGACGCUGAGGCACGAAAGUGCGGGGAUCAAACAGG